CAGCAGUGGGGAAUAUUGCACAAUGGGGGAAACCCUGAUGCAGCGACGCCGCGUGAGGGAUGGAGGCCUUCGGGUUGUAAACCUCUUUUAUCGGGGAGCAAGCGAGAGUGAGUUUACCCGUUGAAUAAGCACCGGCUAACUACGUGCCAGCAGCCGCGGUAAUACGUAGGGUGCAAGCGUUAUCCGGAAUUAUUGGGCGUAAAGGGCUCGUAGGCGGUUCGUCGCGUCCGGUGUGAAAGUCCAUCGCUUAACGGUGGAUCCGCGCCGGGUACGGGCGGGCUUGAGUGCGGUAGGGGAGACUGGAAUUCCCGGUGUAACGGUGGAAUGUGUAGAUAUCGGGAAGAACACCAAUGGCGAAGGCAGGUCUCUGGGCCGUUACUGACGCUGAGGAGCGAAAGCGUGGGGAGCGAACAGGAUUAGA
Molecule: ribosomal RNA, 421 nt
Filed under: uncultured Bifidobacterium sp.
Lineage: Bacteria; Bacillati; Actinomycetota; Actinomycetes; Bifidobacteriales; Bifidobacteriaceae
Description: bacterial SSU rRNA
Rfam family: Bacterial small subunit ribosomal RNA
Source: RNAcentral